This 753-nucleotide ribosomal RNA is filed under the name uncultured bacterium. Its description in RNAcentral is "bacterial SSU rRNA". It matches the Rfam family "Bacterial small subunit ribosomal RNA", at positions 92 to 862 of the family's 1533-position model. The record is from RNAcentral.
UUAGUGGCGGACGGGUGAGUAACGCGUGAGUAACCUGCCUUGGAGUGGGGAAUAACCCAGAGAAAUUUGUGCUAAUACCGCAUAAUGCAGCUGAGUCGCAUGGCUCUGGCUGCCAAAGAUUUAUCGCUCUGAGAUGGACUCGCGUCUGAUUAGCUAGUUGGCGGGGUAACGGCCCACCAAGGCGACGAUCAGUAGCCGGACUGAGAGGUUGGCCGGCCACAUUGGGACUGAGACACGGCCCAAACUCCUACGGGAGGCAGCAGUGGGGAAUAUUGCACAAUGGGCGCAAGCCUGAUGCAGCGACGCCGCGUGAGCGAAGAAGUAUUUCGGUAUGUAAAGCUCUAUCAGCAGGGAAGAAAAUGACGGUACCUGACUAAGAAGCUCCGGCUAAAUACGUGCCAGCAGCCGCGGUAAUACGUAUGGAGCAAGCGUUAUCCGGAAUUACUGGGUGUAAAGGGAGCGUAGACGGACUUGCAAGUCUGAUGUGAAAGGCGGGGGCUCAACCCCUGGACUGCAUUGGAAACUGUAGGUCUUGAGUGCCGGAGAGGUAAGCGGAAUUCCUAGUGUAGCGGUGAAAUGCGUAGAUAUUAGGAGGAACACCAGUGGCGAAGGCGGCUUACUGGACGGUAACUGACGUUGAGGCUCGAAAGCGUGGGGAGCAAACAGGAUUAGAUACCCUGGUAGUCCACGCGGUAAACGAUGAAUACUAGGUGUUGGGGAGCAAAGCUCUUCGGUGCCGCAGCAAACGCAAUA